AGAGAGAGACAUGCGCGCAUAUCAAUAAGCGGAGGAAAAGAAACUAACAAGGAUUCCCUUAGUAACGGCGAGUGAAGCGGGAAGAGCUCAAAUUUGAAAUCUUCAAGGUUCUACCUUGACGAAUUGUAGUUUAUAGAAGUGUUUUCUGUUAGUGGAGUGGCAAAAGUUCUUUGGAAUAGGACAUCAUAGAGGGUGAGAAUCCCGUACUUGGUCAUUCCUCCUAGCGUUGUGAUACACUUUCAACGAGUCGGAUUGUUUGGGAAUGCAGUCCAAAAUGGGUGGUAAAUUUCAUCUAAAGCUAAAUAUUGGCGAGAGACCGAUAGCGAACAAGUACCGUGAGGGAAAGAUGAAAAGAACUUUGAAAAGAGAGUUAAACAGUACGUGAAAUUGUCAAAAGGGAAGCGUUUGACACCAGUGUUGUUUUCUCGAAAAUCAAUUAAGAAUGGUGGAUUUUGUGAGUGUAUUGACUUAAUCAGGCUUCUGCUACUUCUUUCCGAAUCUUUUUAAUGCACUUUUCGGUUAACAAGUCAACAUCAAUUUCUUUUGUUGUAAAAGAGUCAUUGAGGAAGGUGGCUUUCUUUUCGGAGAAAGUGUUUAUAGCCUUGUACCUUCUGCAAUCGGAGAGAUUGAGGUCUGCAGCGUAGAUCCUUCGGGGUUAGAUACAUUUGUGCUAAGCUAUAGCCUUUUCAUAGACAACUUGUUGACUAUGAUUUAGUCUUGUAGCUUACUCGCUUAUGCUAUUUUACCUACGCUUAGGAUGUUGAUCUGUAGUGCGUGCGC
This 780-nucleotide ribosomal RNA is filed under the name uncultured Neocallimastigales. RNAcentral describes it as "partial large subunit ribosomal RNA". It matches the Rfam family "Eukaryotic large subunit ribosomal RNA", at positions 23 to 647 of the family's 3401-position model. The record is from RNAcentral. Lineage: Eukaryota; Fungi; Neocallimastigomycota; Neocallimastigomycetes; Neocallimastigales.